UACGUAGGGUGCGAGCGUUGUCCGGAAUUAUUGGGCGUAAAGGGUUCGUAGGCGGUUUGUUGCGUCGGGAGUGAAAACCUUGGGCUUAACUCAGGGCUUGCUUUCGAUACGGGCAGACUAGAGGUAUGCAGGGGAGAACGGAAUUCCUGGUGUAGCGGUGAAAUGCGCAGAUAUCAGGAGGAACACCGGUGGCGAAGGCGGUUCUCUGGGCAUUACCUGACGCUGAGGAGCGAAAGCUAGGGGAGCAAACGGG
This 253-nucleotide ribosomal RNA is filed under the name uncultured bacterium. RNAcentral's name for it is "partial 16S ribosomal RNA". It matches the Rfam family "Bacterial small subunit ribosomal RNA", at positions 524 to 776 of the family's 1533-position model. The record is from RNAcentral.